RNAcentral lists this ribosomal RNA (495 nucleotides) under Triticum aestivum (bread wheat). Its description in RNAcentral is "partial small subunit ribosomal RNA". Lineage: Eukaryota; Viridiplantae; Streptophyta; Magnoliopsida; Poales; Poaceae. The record is from RNAcentral.
AUGUGUGUGGUUGCACACUAUAUAGAUGGGAAUUGGAACUUACAAACCCAUGUGCUUGCUUUCAUAGAGUUGGAUCCUUCUCACUCCGGAAAUGUCAUUGCGGAUGCUCUCUAUGCGGUUGUGACAGAAUGGAAUAUUGAGACCAAAAUUAUGUCCAUCACACUUGACAACGCUUCAAACAAUGAUGGUGCGGUUGAAGCUUUGAAGGCCAAGUUCUUGUUUCAGAGAGGUAAGGACUUCGAAGGACAAUAUUUUCAUAUCCGUUGUUGUGCACAUAUCCUCAACUUGGUCGUGCAAGAUGGGACAAUGAUCUUAGAUAAUUUGAUAAACAGCUUGAGAGAGACGGUGAAGUACUUCAAGAGGUCACCUUCUCAUCUCCAUGCUUUUGUUGCCACUUGCAAAAGCUUGGGUGUCAAAGUUGGUAAUCAUUUACACCUGGAUUGUAAAAUAAGGUGGAGUUCAACCUUUAAGAUGAUUAGCACUGCCCGUGGAUAA